This 685-nucleotide ribosomal RNA is filed under the name uncultured bacterium. RNAcentral describes it as "bacterial SSU rRNA". It matches the Rfam family "Bacterial small subunit ribosomal RNA", at positions 797 to 1482 of the family's 1533-position model. The record is from RNAcentral.
ACGCCGUAAACGAUGUCAACUAGCCGUUGGGGAUCUUGAAUCCUUAGUGGCGCAGCUAACGCACUAAGUUGACCGCCUGGGGAGUACGGCCGCAAGGUUAAAACUCAAAUGAAUUGACGGGGGCCCGCACAAGCGGUGGAGCAUGUGGUUUAAUUCGACGCAACGCGAAGAACCUUACCUGGCCUUGACAUCCUGCGAACUUUCUAGAGAUAGAUUGGUGCCUUCGGGAACGCAGUGACAGGUGCUGCAUGGCCGUCGUCAGCUCGUGUCGUGAGAUGUUGGGUUAAGUCCCGUAACGAGCGCAACCCCUAUCCUUGGUUGCUAGCAGUUCGGCUGAGAACUCCAGGGAGACUGCCGGUGACAAACCGGAGGAAGGUGGGGAUGACGUCAGGUCAUCAUGGCCCUUACGGCCAGGGCUACACACGUGCUACAAUGGCGCGCACAGAGGGCUGCAAACCCGCGAGGGUAAGCCAAUCUCUUAAAACGCGUCGUAGUCCGGAUCGCAGUCUGCAACUCGACUGCGUGAAGUCGGAAUCGCUAGUAAUCGCGAAUCAGAAUGUCGCGGUGAAUACGUUCCCGGGCCUUGUACACACCGCCCGUCACACCAUGGGAGUGGAUUGCACCAGAAGUGGUUAGUCUAACCUUCGGGAGGACGAUCACCACGGUGUGGUUCAUGACUGGGGUG